GACGAACGCUGGCGGCGUGCUUAACACAUGCAAGUCGAACGGAAAGGCCCUGCUUUUGUGGGGUGCUCGAGUGGCGAACGGGUGAGUAACACGUGAGUAACCUGCCCUUGACUUUGGGAUAACUUCAGGAAACUGGGGCUAAUACCGGAUAUGAUCUCCUGCUGCAUGGGGGGGGUUGGAAAGUUUCGGCGGUUGGGGCUGGACUCGCGGCUUAUCAGCUUCUUUGUGUGGUAGUGGCUUACCAAGGCUUUGACGGGUAGCCGGCCUGAGAGGGUGGACGGGGACAUUGGGACUGAGGGAGGGAGCAGACGCCUACGGGCGGCAGCAGGGGAGAAUAUGGCGCAAUGGGGGGAAGCCUGAGGCGGCAGCGCUGCGAGCGGGAUGACGGCCUACGGGUGGUGAACCGCUGUGGCCGGUGACGAAGCGUGAGUGACGGUAAUGGGUAAAGAAGCACCGGCUAACUACGUG
RNAcentral lists this ribosomal RNA (468 nucleotides) under uncultured bacterium. Its description in RNAcentral is "partial 16S ribosomal RNA". It matches the Rfam family "Bacterial small subunit ribosomal RNA", at positions 28 to 507 of the family's 1533-position model. The record is from RNAcentral.